CCUACGGGUGGCAGCAGUGAGGAAUAUUGGUCAAUGGACGCAAGUCUGAACCAGCCAUGCCGCGUGCAGGAAGACGGCUCUAUGAGUUGUAAACUGCUUUUGUACGAGGGUAAACGCAGAUACGCGUAUCUGUCUGAAAGUAUCGUACGAAUAAGGAUCGGCUAACUCCGUGCCAGCAGCCGCGGUAAUACGGAGGAUUCCAGCGUUAUCCGGAUUUAUUGGGUUUAAAGGGUGCGUAGGCGGUCGGAUAAGUUCGAGUGGAAAUCCCGAGGUUCAACUUCGGAAUUGCCUCUGAUACUGUUCGGCUAGAGAGUAGUUGCGGUAGGCGGAAUGUAUGGUGUAGCUGUGAAAUGCUUAGAGAUCAUACAGAACACCGAUUGCGAAGGCAGCUUACCAAGCUACUUCUGACGUUGAGGCACGAAAGCGUGGGGAGCAAACAGGAUUAGAUACCCUGGUAGUC
RNAcentral lists this ribosomal RNA (460 nucleotides) under uncultured bacterium. RNAcentral's name for it is "partial 16S ribosomal RNA". It matches the Rfam family "Bacterial small subunit ribosomal RNA", at positions 338 to 795 of the family's 1533-position model. The record is from RNAcentral.